Molecule: ribosomal RNA, 253 nt
Filed under: uncultured bacterium
Lineage: Bacteria
Description: partial 16S ribosomal RNA
Rfam family: Bacterial small subunit ribosomal RNA
Source: RNAcentral
UACGUAGGGUGCAAGCGUUAAUCGGAAUUACUGGGCGUAAAGCGUGCGCAGGCGGUUGUGCAAGACAGAUGUGAAAUCCCCGGGCUUAACCUGGGAACUGCAUUUGUGACUGCACGGCUAGAGUGUGUCAGAGGGGGGUAGAAUUCCACGUGUAGCAGUGAAAUGCGUAGAUAUGUGGAGGGAUACCGAUGGCGAAGGCAGCCCCCUGGGAUAACACUGACGCUCAUGCACGAAAGCGUGGGGAGCAAACAGG